This 330-nucleotide ribosomal RNA is filed under the name uncultured bacterium. RNAcentral describes it as "bacterial SSU rRNA". It matches the Rfam family "Bacterial small subunit ribosomal RNA", at positions 468 to 793 of the family's 1533-position model. The record is from RNAcentral.
UUUGACGUUACCUACAGAAGAAGCACCGGCUAACUCCGUGCCAGCAGCCGCGGUAAUACGGAGGGUGCGAGCGUUAAUCGGAAUUACUGGGCGUAAAGCGCAUGCAGGCGGCCUGUUAAGUCAGAUGUGAAAGACCCGGGGCGUUAACCUCGGAAUUGCAUUUGAAACUGGCAGGCUAGAGUCUUGUAGAGGGGGGUAGGAAUUUCAGGUGUAGCGGUGAAAUGCGUAGAGAUCUGAAGGAAUACCAGUGGCGAAGGCGGCCCCCUCGGACAAAGACUGACGCUCAGAUGCGAAAGCGUGGGGAGCAAACAGGAUUAGAUACCCUGGUAG